RNAcentral lists this ribosomal RNA (493 nucleotides) under uncultured bacterium. Its description in RNAcentral is "bacterial SSU rRNA". It matches the Rfam family "Bacterial small subunit ribosomal RNA", at positions 32 to 507 of the family's 1533-position model. The record is from RNAcentral.
AACGCUGGCGGCGUGCUUAACACAUGCAAGUCGAACGAGAAUCUAAUGAUGGAGUUUUCGGACAACUGAUUUAGAGGACAGUGGCGGACUGGUGAGUAACGCGUAGGCAACCUGCCCUUUAGUUGGGGACAACAUCCCGAAAGGGGGUGCUAAUACCGAAUGUGAUCGCUCUUCCGCAUGGAAGAGCGAUGAAAGAUGGCCUCUAUUUAUAAGCUAUCGCUAAAGGAUGGGCCUGCGUCUGAUUAGCUAGUUGGUGGGGUAACGGCCUACCAAGGCGAUGAUCAGUAGCCGGUCUGAGAGGAUGAACGGCCACAUUGGAACUGAGACACGGCCCAGACUCCUACGGGAGGCGGCAGUGGGGAAUAUUGGGCAAUGGACGCAAGUCUGACCCAGCAACGCCGCGUGAAGGAAGAAGGCUUUCGGGUUGUAAACUUCUUUUGUCAGGGAAGAGUAGAAGACGGUACCUGACGAAUAAGCCACGGCUAACUACGUG